Molecule: long non-coding RNA, 1430 nt
Organism: Myotis lucifugus (little brown bat)
Lineage: Eukaryota; Metazoa; Chordata; Mammalia; Chiroptera; Vespertilionidae
Exons: 2
Source: RefSeq, a predicted model, not a curated record
UGUGUGUCCCCUUUUCUCCCUCCCUCCCCCAGCCCAGUUGGAAAAUUAGAAACAUAAUCCAUGUUGUUGAUUCCAUAAGGUAUUGAUUCCCCUCACCCCUGACACCCACCCACCCAGGGGUCUGCCAAGCUAUGUGAGUUAAAAUCUACAUUUUUAGAAAGACUGGUUCUCGUUUUAUUUGCAAAGGCAAUUUCUGCUCUAAUGACAACACAAAACUUAUUAAUUAUAUUAUUAAUUUUUCAAGUUCAGAUACUGAUGUCCAGUUGAGAAAGGUAAAGAUUGAAUUCACAUUCCUUACCUCCACUUCCACUCAGUCCCUUCUGGAAAUUUGCCUUGUUGGACGACUGAUUCUAAUUCUUCUACUGCUUUUACCUGUAACUUAAUUUCUCCCCAGCGGUAUUGAGAUAUAAUUGACAAGGGAUUGACAUUUUUUUAAACCACCAGGAAAAGAAACCCGGAGCUGUCAAGAAUAAUAUUUUAUUGACUUGGAAUGAGUUUUGGAAUCUGUAUUUUUAACCAGCUACCCAGUGAAAACUAUUUCCUCCUCACGGUUAACUCGAUCCAGAGGCUGCGCCCAUCUCUCCCACGUCAACAGUCCUGUGUCCUUGGCGGAGGACAGUGCUCUCAUUCUGGGCCUUUCCCUUGUUCCUCGGCCAAACCCCUGCUUCUGCACCUCCCUGCAGCUAGUCAAGCUCCCGAUGCCGGGAAAGCCCCGCCCGCUGUCACUCACAGGGAUGAGUGAAAGCUGAUGAGGCCACACUUGUCCUAAUCCACAGCUCUCCUUGCCUCCUCCACUCCCAUUUCCCCAGAGCAGCUACCUCUGUCCCAGGCCUCAGGGCUGUCCCUGGGCUGAAGUGCAAUCCAGCCACAACCACCUUCCAAAGCCAACAGUCACCAUGAACCUGCAGAAAGGCAAGAGCUGGGCACGUCCUGACAUAGAGUAAAGAAAGUCUCCCAGUGAAAAGACAGGAAGGCAGUAUUUGGGGGAGCCCUGUGCUGAGUGGAGGUGGGUGGGGAUAUUUCCUUGGCUUCCAGAGCCUCUUGUCUGAUGGGAUCAGCCGCUCCAGCAGUAGCCACCUGGCCCAGCUUUGGGAGAUGUGGAGAUUGAAUUUCACGGUGAUUUCCACUGGGCCAUGGCACCGAGACAGCUGCAGGAGGGCACACAGCUGGCGCUGCCCCACCCCUUCCAGAGCUGCUCUGGAGGAAUGCCACCCUCCCCAUGGGAAGCGAGAGGGUCCUACUUGCUGUGGUUCCAUGGGAAGGGACCUCUACGCUAAACCCUCAUUUUGAGGGCACGAGCUGGCCUUCAUUAGAGUAAAAUCCCAACAUCACUUAUUCCAGUAGCUCCCCAACCUGGAUAAACAUCAGGAUCACUCGGGAUGUUUAUUUUUAAAAUGAAGAUUAAUAAAAAUAACGAUUUUGUGAACCCA